This 407-nucleotide ribosomal RNA is filed under the name uncultured bacterium. RNAcentral describes it as "bacterial SSU rRNA". It matches the Rfam family "Bacterial small subunit ribosomal RNA", at positions 354 to 773 of the family's 1533-position model. The record is from RNAcentral.
GUGGGGAAUAUUGCACAAUGGGCGAAAGCCUGAUGCAGCGACGCCGCGUGAGGGAUGACGGCCUUCGGGUUGUAAACCUCUUUCAGCAGGGAAGAAGCGCAAGUGACGGUACCUGCAGAAGAAGCGCCGGCUAACUACGUGCCAGCAGCCGCGGUAAUACGUAGGGCGCAAGCGUUGUCCGGAAUUAUUGGGCGUAAAGAGCUCGUAGGCGGCUUGUCACGUCGGAUGUGAAAGCCCGGGGCUUAACCCCGGGUCUGCAUUCGAUACGGGCUAGCUAGAGUGUGGUAGGGGAGAUCGGAAUUCCUGGUGUAGCGGUGAAAUGCGCAGAUAUCAGGAGGAACACCGGUGGCGAAGGCGGAUCUCUGGGCCAUUACUGACGCUGAGGAGCGAAAGCGUGGGGAGCGAAC